RNAcentral lists this unclassified non-coding RNA (3116 nucleotides) under Hevea brasiliensis (rubber tree). The record is from RNAcentral. Lineage: Eukaryota; Viridiplantae; Streptophyta; Magnoliopsida; Malpighiales; Euphorbiaceae.
CUCCAAGGUUGUUGAUUAGAAUAUAAAUCCAAACAGGCCAAAUACACCCAAAAAAUUUGAAAAUACGCUGUUUGACUUAAUAAAUUCUGUAUUUGCUUUAUAUAAUACCAUCUUUUAUUUACUAAUUCGAAAUAAAUCCAUACUUGAAAUGUUGGAGAGAGAAACAGGAAGAUAGAAAAAUAUUCCAGAAACAGUUGGUGAAUCCAGACGCGGCAACAGAAAAGAAAAGCCAAUUCAUCAGCAUCAAGCAAGGAGCACCUCCAGUGCACACUCUUCACAGUUAAAUGGUUAGUGCCUUCCGGGUUAAACAAUACUCGGCCAAUCCAAACUGUUCAAACAUUACAUUUUAACGGAGCUUGAUACAACACUAAAAAAUUUUCUGAAACCUCAACUAUAGUUAUCCUCGGAAAUUAACACAUGGGACAGAAUGGUAUGAUACAAUGUACAAAUCAGCGAGUGGUAUGUCAUGUUCCAGGCAUUGCACAAGGAGAAAAUCAUCAUAUCGGACAAAUCCAAUCAAAACCUAAUGCCCUAAGACAUCUUGAGGUUUACAGGAUGCAACAAAUGCUGGUAUGUUCCCAACAAAUGCUGGUUUAGUUGGGCACACACCUAAAAGCUGCCAAUCAUAAAAUGAAAUCUCAAAUUAACAUUCAGGAAGCGACUGAGCGGAGGCAAAUGGGGAGAAACUUGCUGCAGACUCGCUACAAUGCAGUGGCUGCGGUUGAUGACUUGAAGAACUUGAAAAACAAGGCAAGGCAUUACUUGGGCUAGGAAUAUAUGGAGACAUGUAUCUUGAGUUAAGAGGUGAUAUUGAUGGGUAACCCAAGGAGUGGGGUGAAAUUAAAUGAGAAGCAAUUGAUCUUUGCGAUGACACAUGCCUAAGAUCUGCUGAGCGGUGACUUACACUUAGAGAUGGCGAUUGGUGGUAGGACCUAAGAGAUUGCUGGACAUAUGGAGUGCUAGAACGAGGACUAUGAGAAACUGAAGGAGUUCGUGAAAAUGGAAUAUGAGAAACUGAUGGAGAUCGCGAUGAUGUAGGGGCAAUUUGUAUGGCCAGCGAUGAUGUAGAUCUAAAGGAUGACAACACAGAAGAAGAAGCCAUAGAGGCUGGGCUGGAUGAAAGUAAUGGUGUGGAUUCUGAGGCUGGCAGAUCACCAUUGCUAGUUCUUGCAUCACGUUUACAUACUGGGCAAAAAGUUCUCCAUGUGGUAAGCCAGGAGUCCACACAAAAAGCAUGGAAUUUGUGUCGACAUGGCAAAAUCCUGAGCUUUUCCCCAACACUGUAGUCUUCAAGGCAUAUGGCACACGUUCUUGAAGUACAAUUAUCCUCUAGAACAUCUGUAAAUAUUAGGCUUGGCAUUGCUUUCACCAAGCGUCUGCUCAUCCCAUGGAACUCUCGGACAUGAGAAGAACGAGGCCGCUCUGUUCUUAUACGGUGCCUGCGAACAAAGAAACAAGUAGCCAGCACUGCAGACAUGGUCAGCAGGGAAAUAAAAGAGAUUGCCAUAAUAGACCACGCCGAAUUUUCAAAGCUUGGGAUUAACCAAAGCUCCAUGCCACUCAACCCAGCAUACUUCCCGAGUGUUUCACCAGAAGAUUUGGAAAUAAAUACAGCAUGUAUUUUUAUACCAGUUGAAUUCCCUGCCACUGCAUGUUUUGCAUGUAUGCUAAGUUAGGAUUUGCAUAGCAACGAAAACUAUUGUAAUAUAAAUAAGAUUGACAGAGAGGACAGAUUAUUUGUUGUCAUCUAUAAAUGUGAGAGAAUAGACACUCAAAGAAAUUAACAAAAUUAAUGGACCAUGUCCACCUUGCUUUUUAAAAUGGUAACCUGACUGGUCUUUUAACUCAAAAUGGUAUCUUUUCUUAGUCACUCAAGCAAAAUUUAUCACAUUAAGAAUCAUGAGAAUGACAAAUUGAAAAUAUAAUGCAUCAUUCAUCUAAAGAUGAACAAAUCUAGUCAUUGUGCCGGUAUACCACCUCAUAAUGCAAGACAUUAGAGUAACUCCUGCAUCCUUCUACCCUCGAAUAUUUGGAGAAAAAAAAAAUCACAAAACAAAUCUAUAUGUGUAAUGCAGAGGAUUUCUAAAAAACAAACUUAAACUAUAACAUAAAAUAUGAAGAAAACAUCUCACAAAUAAAUUAGUGUUCUAUUAGAUGUUUGCAAUGGGUUGAAAAGAAAAGAAGACACUAUUGCAGUUUGAAAUACAAAUCCAUUUCAGUUCAAACUAUUCUUUACCACCUCAUCUGAAACAAAUAAAGAGAACAUUAUGACACAAGGCAUGGAGGGGACUUCUGCACAGUUCUGAUCAACAAUUUGAUUCAGGUUUCCCACUCCUCCUGUGAGCCUUUUUUUAAAGUUGUGCAAUCAUCAUGAUCUAAGAAACACAUUGAUGCAGAACAAGCUUUGAUGCCAAAUUAAUGUAAAACAUGAAACCAAAAUCAAGAGGAAGAGAAACAAAUUCUCAAAAACUACAUUAAAUCUGAAAUAAGAUAGAGAGAGAAGAAGAGAAGUUGUGAAAAGCUUGAUGAUCUUUCCUUCAAGCUUGACUGAAAUUUAUAGGAUUUACAGGAAUACAAAGAAGGAAGAAAACAGAUUUUAGCCUAACUAAUAGUAAUACAAUCUCACAACAAAUCCUGCUUAAUUAUAGGAACAAAUCAAUGCUAAAUGCCUAAAUCACAGUGAUAUCUUAACAAGUGAAUUUCCAUUUCUAAUGCAUUGUAUUAGACCUGAGGUUGAUUCCUCUAAUCAAGUGCAAGCUUGAUAUUAUUAAUUAGAUCUGAAUCUAUUAGGUUAAUUCUAUUCGUGGAAGUAGCUCGCCAAUAAAUACAUAUUCUGCCUAUUAUAGAAUAACAAACAUGUGAAUGAUAAUUUUGUAGGUAUAUGACAUUUCAAUUUGCUUUUGGUCUCGUAUACAAUCUGCUAAUUUGCCACUCCUGAGUAAUAUUGAUUACUUUUUUUAUUUUUCCAGUUUGAUGUGAUGCAUAUAUAUAUAUUAUUCUUUGAUUCACUUGUUCAUUUAAUUGAUUUCCUUCUAUUUAUAAAUAACACAGUAGAAUUUACUGAUGCAAAUUUUCAAAUGGCCUUUGACCCAGGUGGUCUUGUUCUAAGUGGGGGC